GUAGACCCGAAACCAGGUGAUCUACCCAUGUCCAGGAUGAAGGUAAGGUAAUACUUACUGGAGGUCCGAACCCACGCACGUUGAAAAGUGCGGGGAUGAGGUGUGGGUAGCGGAGAAAUUCCAAUCGAACUUGGAGAUAGCUGGUUCUCUCCGAAAUAGCUUUAGGGCUAGCCUCGAGGUAAAGAGUCAUGGAGGUAGAGCACUGUUUGGACUAGGGGCCCUUCUCGGGUUACCGAAGGGCCACAGACACUGCG
RNAcentral lists this ribosomal RNA (254 nucleotides) under Escherichia coli. RNAcentral describes it as "partial 23S ribosomal RNA". It matches the Rfam family "Bacterial large subunit ribosomal RNA", at positions 709 to 958 of the family's 2925-position model. The record is from RNAcentral. Lineage: Bacteria; Pseudomonadati; Pseudomonadota; Gammaproteobacteria; Enterobacterales; Enterobacteriaceae.